RNAcentral lists this ribosomal RNA (388 nucleotides) under Pristimantis zeuctotylus (Sipaliwini robber frog). Its description in RNAcentral is "partial 16S ribosomal RNA". It matches the Rfam family "Bacterial large subunit ribosomal RNA", at positions 1834 to 2457 of the family's 2925-position model. The record is from RNAcentral. RNAcentral also lists the same sequence under 1 other name. Lineage: Eukaryota; Metazoa; Chordata; Amphibia; Anura; Strabomantidae.
CUUGAUAACAUAAGAGGUCCAGCCUGCCCAGUGACUCAAUUUAACGGCCGCGGUAUCCUAACCGUGCAAAGGUAGCGUAAUCACUUGUCUUCUAAAUAAAGACUAGUAUGAAAGGCACCACGAGAACUAAACUGUCUCCUUUUUCUAAUCAGUGAACCUAAUCUCCCUGUGAAAAAGCAGGGAUUUAAUAAUAAGACGAGAAGACCCUAUGGAGCUUUAAACACAUAACACUGCCCUUUUACACCACAUGUUCCCAUGCACAAUGAUUAAGAGUUUUUAGUUGGGGUGACUACGGAGUAAACCCACCCUCCGCGAUGAAUCUUAAACAAGCGACAGCUUUAUACAUCAGCAAACUGACACCAUUGACCCAAUUUAUUGAUCAACGAAC